AGCCAUCGCGAUAUAUGCUCGCCCGUGCGAGAUUGGACGCCAAAAUGGGAUACUGUGGGGGAGGCUCAUUCCUAGAGUGGGGAUGUUGACUACCACGGGGCCAUUGUUGGCACGGCGCUGGCCGGACUACCUACGGGUAGCUUCCACAGGAUUGGGUUACUGGUGACACAUUGUACCUUUUGGACAUUGACUAGAAUAGUAGAUAAUGACACAUUACCAUUCUAGCUUGUGAUCAUGGUGUUGGGCUUUUACUUAUGCAAUUAUGCCAUGGUAGUUUAUUACUUAUGCAAAUUC
Molecule: long non-coding RNA, 294 nt
Filed under: Ananas comosus (pineapple)
Lineage: Eukaryota; Viridiplantae; Streptophyta; Magnoliopsida; Poales; Bromeliaceae
Description: long non-coding RNA (ACOM_LNC036428)
Source: RNAcentral